UUCGUAGGAGAUAUCGCGAAACGCCGGAGGUUGUCUGGAUGUAGAGGUAAUCGCGACGCUCUCGUCGUUACUUUUACAAUUUUCCCGAGGAAAUGAAGCUCCGUUAGGGAAAAAGGUUCAUGGCGGGGGGGUUGCGUUAGAAGGAUCGUCGGACAUGGCGGAUAUCUAGCGUUCUCGGUGCAUUUAACUUCGUAUCUACGCUGAGCCAGCGGAGCAACGAUAAGCCUUUUAGAUUAUCAUCCAUCGCAUUACGAUUACGAGGUACGCCUACUCGAGCAUCUAGGCGCCAGCACGGCGCGCCUCUAGUCGAUUCGAAAAUUCACCUCUCGUCUAUGAAAACCGAGUUUGCCGCACCCCCACCAUCGUCGCUCGCUUUUACCAACAAACUAAUUACGAGAGAAACGAAAUAACGAUCCACUCUUUCCCUCUUUUGUAAGCGGACAACGCCUUAUAAUAACUCGUCCGUAAAAGAGCCGUUUGACUCGACUUUGCUCAUUCGUUCGUUCAAGAAACAACGCGCGAGAACGAGAUCGCAAAGGUAUUACUGGAAAAUUACUUGUCGUCCGUCCAUUCUCUCUCUCUCUCUCUCUCUCUCUCUCUCUCUCUCUCAUCCCUCUCGCAAGAUUACUUGGAGUAAUUGGACGGACGACGCGACGCGCCUAUCGCCGGACAAAGAUGCGAAGAGGUCUAUCUCUCGAAUAGGACUCGGUGGACGUGGACUCGUCCCGUUGAUUUUACGAAAUUAUCUCGAACAAAGUAAACGACGAAAACCCUAAAGCCGAGCUAUAUAUACAGGAAACUUUGAUAGUUCGCCUACGAGACUCUCUUCCGUGUUUCAGUCGGUCAGCUAACCGCAAUGUGUCUGUUCCACGCACCUGCCCGUGGGUUGCGUCUGUCCGAUAUUAAUUACGUUAAUUAUCUUCUCAACCGUAUUAGGACACUAAUUAUGAUGCAACAAUUCCUACAGAUUUUCAAACAGUUUUCCAAACGUAUCUUAUCUAUCGUUUCUUGGUUUACCAUCGCGAACUUUAUUAAUAAUUUCUAGGUUAUUUCCCUCGGGAAGGAAAAUUCGACCGCUUUCGAGGAGGAGGAUCCUCUUUAGCGAACUUAAUAUACCGAACGUGUUAAAAGUCACCUAAGUAUACCAAGCUUCUCCCAACAGGUCAGGAUCUUAAUUUUACUUGGACGCUAACAUACUCUUGCAUUCUCUCCUAUUCCACUUCUCUGCCUCUCUCUCUCUUUCUCUCGCGCGCGCAUUUAAUAACAGACAGAAUCGCCGAUGCGUUUCGCGAUGCACGAAAUAUUUGCGCGUAUCAGGGAUACGCUCGUUUCUCUCUGUGCCGAUCGAUUACAGUUUGAACGAGCGAGAGCUCGUAGCAUAGCCGAGCUUUGCCCGGGCUUCCUUCCAUCCUCCAUUCUCGACAUUACUCCUGAAUAGUCUUUUAAUGUUCGAUGCGCAUGCAUAAUUAGAAGGCCCAUCCAUCUUUGUCGGUAAGAUUAGAAGCAUUUAAGAUAAUAAGCUCUCCGAAAGCUUCUCACUCUCUCUUUCUCGCGCGCGCACACAUACCCACGCACAUUUCACAUACACAUUUUCUCGACUUCUCUUCUCGGUUGAAGACUUCCGCAACGAAUCCAUUUAUAUUUAUCUAACUUUUCCUAUUUCAUUUUCUUAUCAUUGAUAAAAAUCCUACUUGUAAUUACUACUGCAAAUAUUAUAUCUACGAAUAAAUCAUUCAUAAAUGAGAUAGUGACAAACACACAGAGAGAGAGAGAGAGAGAGAGAGAGAGAAAGCUUGUUGCGUUCAUCACAAUGGCCGCGCGCAACGAGGAUCUUACGUCGCUUAUCAAGCUUCGUGCGAGGCUCUGAAUAAUAUAUCCAAGCUGCUGCAGCAGCGACGUCGUUCUGCGACACUCUGUGCGCUCUAUCUCAGUGCCAUUUUAUCGUAUUAACAAAACGAAACUGGUAUUUCGAAAUCGUUAAGGAUAUCGUUUCUCUCUUAUUUCGUUCGGAGAACAAAACUCGGCUCGAUUUUUCGUCCUCGAGACCAUCGCGUUUUUUUUAUGUAUUAUAUUCAAACGCAAACAAAAGCAAAGCGUUGCCAUUCGUGACGUUUAUAUCAAUCGAGACUGGCAUAAACAAAUUAACUUUCGAUCUAACGCUAUCUAAAUUCCCUUUGGCUUUAUUAUGUCAAAAUUUAUUAUAACGUGCUCCAUCGAAGAUGCAACGAAUUUUCAUCGAUAAUCAGAAAAUCACUCUCCCCGUCGACGUCGUUAAAGAGAAUACAAAGUUCGACUUUCCAAGUGUCAUUGCUUGAACGAGAAAGGUAGACGAUAAAAAUAAGUGGACUUAGGGUAAACCAAAACAUGCCUAUCUUUGGUUGUACGAAAGAGGACAAUUGUAGAAGGAACGCCUUUCUAAGGGCGAGAGAACGUGCGAAUCGUGAAAAAGAAAAGAAGAAAUUGGAAAAUUUGAACAACCCGAAUCAAACGUCCGAACUUUCGAAAGUCGAAAACAUUGAUAAAGAAGAUAUCGUGGAACAAAACGAUAAGUUAAAUCCGAAAGAACAGAAAGAAACGUCAGAAUCGGAAAGAGGGAUCGACGAUUUGGAAGAAUUAUCUUCUUCCGUUAGAAAUCAAGCCUUUAUAGAGCAAAUGCAGGAGGAAUCUUAAAAAAAAAGAAGAAAAAAGAAAAAAAAAAGAGAAAAGGAGACAUCAUAGCGCUCUAAGAAUAAGGACGACCCAAUUUUCGAACAGAAAGUUGCAAUCGGAAAAAUGUAAGAAAAAGUUUGAAAAGAAAAAGCUUGCGGCAUAUGCCAAAACGAGAGAGAAGAUAUAAAGGAUCGUUUGCAUUUCGUUGAAAAUUAUCUAGAGAUAAAAGGGAAAGGGGGAAGAUAGUCAAAGGGUAAAAACUCUCUUUGGCAAAUUCGCCUCGUUUUCGGAUAAUUAUGUAUGCAUGAGGUGGAGAAGAUCGAGAUUAAAUUAACGAAGGGAGAGAUCCGAACUGCGGAUACGAUCAUUUUCUCUCUUAUAAUUUCUUCGGAUACAGUUUGCGAAGUCUGUUCUUUCUCGAGAGAUAUUACGUCGAGCGUAUACAGAAGAUAAAUAACAAUGGAGGAAGAGUACAAAACGCAUCGGGGAGGAGAAGAGGAUAACAAUGAAAACGGUAGAAAGAGAAAUAUUCCUACGAGCUCGGAAAUGGAAGCAACGCAUUUGCGAACGGAUUCUCCUGCACGAUCCGAAACUCACGAGAACGAGGAUAACGAGGAAUACGAAACCGCUAUUUUCACUCUGGCCACCUUCGCGGCAGUUUUUGUUCUCUAUAUAUAUAUCGUCUAUAGCCUUAGUAGUCCGCCAUUAAUAUUACGCCAAUGUUCUUAUUCUUUCGAUCGCCUAGAAUAAAUCAUUUUCAACGA
Vespula vulgaris is the source of this 3413-nucleotide long non-coding RNA. RefSeq lists it as uncharacterized. Lineage: Eukaryota; Metazoa; Arthropoda; Insecta; Hymenoptera; Vespidae. The record is from RefSeq and is a predicted model, not a curated record. The transcript is spliced from 7 exons.